RNAcentral lists this small RNA (1843 nucleotides) under Pongo abelii (Sumatran orangutan). RNAcentral describes it as "retained intron". The record is from RNAcentral. Lineage: Eukaryota; Metazoa; Chordata; Mammalia; Primates; Hominidae.
UCUCUUUUUAAACAGAUGCCAACAGUGAAAAGGCAUUACAUGCCACCCCAAAACUCAGGUUUCAAGCCUUUCUUGAAAAAACCAGAGCAUCUGGUAACACUGGGCCCUACUGGUCUACCUCUGAUGCUGGUACUGUCUGUCAUCUCCCGUGGACCCCUUUGGCCACACUUGCCGAGAGAGCACUUGUGUGCUAACCUGUUCUAAGCUGUUUAUAUGAAUUACUUUAACAGCUCUGAGAGGGAGCACUGUUAACCCAUUCAGCUGACAUACAGCUGAAGAAAUGGAGGCUGGAGAGGUUAGCACUGGCCUGGCCCUGGCGUCUGUCUCCCAGGUCCUCCCUCUUGACCACUCUGCCUUUCAGCCGAGCAUUGUGCACACACAUGGCGCAUCUGUGCGUCACACACCCAUGGUUGGUGGCAGCUACAGCAGGUGUGUCCUGUGGAUAGAGGGGGUUCUGUUCCAGCUCUUAAGGACAGGGCCAGCACUGUGUUCCUCAAGUGGGUUUGGGCCCUGGCAGACCCUGUGAUUGUGAGAGUUCUGUGCUAUGUCUGUGGGUGGAGGGGACGGGCAGGAAGAGACAGCACGGAACAGCACUGAAGGGUUCCUCCCUGGUGCAGAGAGAAUUUGCGCCCAUCUGUUGGGGGCUGGAUGUCUUGGUCAUUGGGUGGUGCUGAGUGACAGCUUCAUGAAGGUGCCUGGACAUGGGGAGAUGUGAAAUCAACCUUCUGGCUGUGUUCCACAGCUCCCCAUCUCUCCCAUGAGAGAGAAAAACUCUUCUGUUUUUUCUAGACGUUUCUUGAACAAAAGUUCUGAAGACGAUGCAGCCUCAGAGAGCUUCCUCCCCUCGGACGGUGCGUCCUCUGACCCCGUGACCCUGCGUCGAAGGAUGCUGGCUGCUGCCGCGGAACGGAGGCUUCAGAAGCAGCAGACCUCCUAGCGCUCCCUUGCCUUCCGCAGCUGCCUCCUGCGCCCUGUGCCCGACUGACUGGAGGAGGCUUGUCCCAAUUCUGCCCGCUCCAUGGAAAAGCGGGCUUGACUGCAUUGCCGCUGUAUAAAGCAUGUGGUCUUAUAGUGUUUGGACAGCUGAUAAAUUUAAUCCUUCUUUGUAAUACUUUCUAUGUGACAUUUCUCUUCCCCUUAGAAACACUGCAAAUUUUAACUCUAGGUAUGAUCUCUUCUGGUGUUGACUGGACUGCUUGGGGUGGGGGACGAUCAGGAGGAAGUGAGCAGUCACUUGCCUGCAGCAGGCAGCUUCUACUCCUGCCUCAUGCGUACAUCCCACAAAUGCAGGUGUCUGAGCACCACAUCCAGUGGGAAGAGUGUGGGGGAGACGCACAGUGUGAGCCCGCCCCCACAUCGUGGGGUAACAUCUGUUAUCAAACUGCUGUCGUUGUUGUGGAAGCAUGUAGACUGUGCCAGAGGCCAGACCCACAGGCUCAUGUACCCCUGAGCCAGCAGGGCAUCUUGGAAAAGGAAUUCUUGGUUCAAUACCUGGAGCAGAGGAGGGGAAAGUCCAGGGCUAUAGGGUGUGACGAAAUCACCCCUUUCUGUCCCACUACAUCUGGGACUGACUUUCUGAGCCUCCAGUCCAAAGCCGGCUUGAUUUCCAUGAACUCUGGUGCUCCUGCAUCUCAUGAGUGUGCCCCAUGGGUCCCCUCCCCUCUGAGCAUUUCCUUGUCCCGUCUGGACCUGGGGAGUGGUUAAGCAGCAAGGUUUGGUUUAUGGUUUUCAUUCAUUGGUCAAGUAAAUUAGGCAAUGCUAAAGCCUGUAGGUUUGGUCCUUGAACAAGAUGUGGGCCCUGCAAGAUGGGAGAGUAAACCUUGAAGGGCUUUAUUAAAGAAAU